This 781-nucleotide ribosomal RNA is filed under the name uncultured archaeon. Its description in RNAcentral is "bacterial SSU rRNA". It matches the Rfam family "Archaeal small subunit ribosomal RNA", at positions 96 to 879 of the family's 1478-position model. The record is from RNAcentral.
ACACGUGGACAACCUAACCUACGGAAGGGGAUAACCCCGGGAAACUGGGGAUAAUACCCUAUAGACUAUGGAUGCUGGAAUGCUCUGUAGCCGAAAGGUCAGCCGCCGUAGGAUGGGUCUGCGGCCGAUUAGGGUUGUUGUUGGGGUAACGGCCCAACAAGCCUGUAAUCGGUACGGGUUGUGGGAGCAAGAGCCCGGAGAUGGAUUCUGAGACACGAAUCCAGGCCCUACGGGGCGCAGCAGUCGCGCAAACUUUGCAAUACACGAAAGUGUGACAGGGCUAUCCCGAGUGCCGUCCGCUGAGGAUGGCUUUUACCCAGUCUAGAACGCUGGGGGAAUAAGGAGAGGGCAAGUCUGGUGUCAGCCGCCGCGGUAAUACCAGCUCUCCGAGUGGUGUGGAUGUUUAUUGGGCCUAAAGCAUCCGUAGCUGGCCAAGUUAGUCCCUUGUUAAACCCACCGAAUUAAUCGUUGGAUUGCGGGGGAUACUGCUUGGCUAGGGGACGAGAGAGGCAGACGGUAUUUCCGGGGUAGGGGUGAAAUCCUAUAAUCCCGGGAAGACCACCAGUGGCGAAGGCUGUCUGCUAGAACGCGCCCGACGGUGAGGGAUGAAAGCUGGGGGAGCGAACCGGAUUAGAUACCCGGGUAGUCCCAGCUGUAAACGAUGCAGGCUAGGUGUUUGGACGGCCACGUGCCGUUCUAGUGCCGCAGGGAAGCUGUUAAGCCUGCCGCCUGGGGAGUACGAUCGCAAGAUUGAAACUUAAAGGAAUUGGCGGGGGAGCAC